RNAcentral lists this ribosomal RNA (497 nucleotides) under uncultured bacterium. RNAcentral describes it as "partial 16S ribosomal RNA". It matches the Rfam family "Bacterial small subunit ribosomal RNA", at positions 28 to 507 of the family's 1533-position model. The record is from RNAcentral.
GAUGAACGCUGGCGGCGUGCCUAAUACAUGCAAGUCGAGCGAACGGACGAGAAGCUUGCUUCUCUGAUGUUAGCGGCGGACGGGUGAGUAACACGUGGAUAACCUACCUAUAAGACUGGGAUAACUUCGGGAAACCGGAGCUAAUACCGGAUAAUAUUUUGAACCGCAUGGUUCAAAAGUGAAAGACGGUCUUGCUGUCACUUAUAGAUGGAUCCGCGCUGCAUUAGCUAGUUGGUAAGGUAACGGCUUACCAAGGCAACGAUGCAUAGCCGACCUGAGAGGAGGAUCAGCAACACGGGAACUGAGACACGGUCAAGACUCCUAAGGGAGGAAGAAGUGGGGAAUCUUCGGAAAGGGGCGAAAGCCUGAGGGAGCAAGGCCGCGGGAGUGAAGAAGGUCUUCGGAUCGAAAACCUUUUUAAGGGGGGAGGAAAAGAAGUAAAAGAAUAUGUGCAAAUCUUGAAGGUACAAAAAAAAAAAGCCACGGAUAACUACGUG